This 434-nucleotide ribosomal RNA is filed under the name uncultured bacterium. RNAcentral's name for it is "partial 16S ribosomal RNA". It matches the Rfam family "Bacterial small subunit ribosomal RNA", at positions 29 to 506 of the family's 1533-position model. The record is from RNAcentral.
AGCGAACGCUGGCGGCAGGCUUAACACAUGCAAGUCGAACGGGCUUCUUCGGAAGUCAGUGGCAGACGGGUGAGUAACACGUGGGAACGUGCCCUUCGGUUCGGAAUAACUCAGGGAAACUUGAGCUAAUACCGGAUACGCCCUUAUGGGGAAAGGUUUACUGCCGAAGGAUCGGCCCGCGUCUGAUUAGCUUGUUGGUGGGGUAACGGCCUACCAAGGCGACGAUCAGUAGCUGGUCUGAGAGGAUGAUCAGCCACACUGGGACUGAGACACGGCCCAGACACCUACGGGAGGCAGCAGUGGGGAAUAUUGGACAAUGGGCGCAAGCCUGAUCCAGCCAUGCCGCGUGAGUGAUGAAGGCCUUAGGGUUGUAAAGCUCUUUUGUCCGGGACGAUAAUGACGGUACCGGAAGAAUAAGCCCCGGCUAACUUCGU